Molecule: long non-coding RNA, 825 nt
Organism: Herpailurus yagouaroundi (jaguarundi)
Lineage: Eukaryota; Metazoa; Chordata; Mammalia; Carnivora; Felidae
Exons: 3
Source: RefSeq, a predicted model, not a curated record
UCUCAUUUCAGAGUUCUCCUGGGCAUGAAGAAGAAGACGGCCACCACCUGCCUCUGUGUCUCUGUGUGGUACCAAGAAAAAACCCUGGAAGCCCCAGAGCCCUCUGCUAGGUAGCAGCCAGGGCUGUGGCAUCUCUGCCCAAGCUUCUCCCUGCUGGAUUCAAUAUGAAAGGGUGUUCUGUCUCGAGUUUCAAAGUCCAACACCACCAACACUCCUUCUCAUGUGGCAGCAAAAGUACAACAGGGAUCUCUGCCUUCCCACCUCAGUGCAAUGAAGCCCCACACCGCAGAGCUUAGGAACCCAUGGGAAACCCAUCAUCACCAUGCUUCACCAAAUGCCAUUUGUUUCCAGAAAGGAAGCGAAGUAAACAGCGCUUUGAUUUGUUGCUUCUCAACUUCUAAAGAAAUCUAGCCUGAGAAUCUAGUUCAGAUGAUGUUGAAGGCUGACCCAGCAACCACACCGUUUAUCACCUCCCUGCUUCACACAUACACCUCCUAGCGAACAGAAUCUGCCAUGUCAUAUGGAGACUGCAAAUGACAGCUUUCCUUGCAUUUGGAGCACGAACAUGCAGCCUGCCAUGACCACUGGGAUCCGAAGGGAACUCUACUGAGACAGGGGUGAGAAAUGGAGGAAGCAAGGCAAGAAGAGCAUAGUUCUUCUCUUUAAUAAAAAGGAUUUGGAGAACAGUUGUCCCUUUCAGCCUUUUUAUGUACAAUUGCUUAAAAUACUAUGCCAAAUGACUUGGCUGCCAUCUUGCAAUCAUGAGGGCAGAAAGCUCAAGAACAAAACCCAAUAUUCUGAAGAAGAUGGAAAGAAGGUGGAAGA